This 497-nucleotide ribosomal RNA is filed under the name uncultured bacterium. RNAcentral's name for it is "partial 16S ribosomal RNA". It matches the Rfam family "Bacterial small subunit ribosomal RNA", at positions 28 to 507 of the family's 1533-position model. The record is from RNAcentral.
GAUGAACGCUGGCGGCGUGCCUAAUACAUGCAAGUCGAGCGAACGGACGAGAAACUUGCUUCUCUGAUGUUAGCGGCGGACGGGUGAGUAACACGUGGAUAACCUACCUAUAAGACUGGGAUAACUUCGGGAAACCGGAGCUAAUACCGGAUGAUAUUUUGAACCGCAUGGUUCAAAAGUGAAAGACGGUCUUGCUGUCACUUAUAGAUGGAUCCGCGCUGCAUUAGCUAGUUGGUAAGGUAACGGCUUACCAAGGCAACGAUGCAUAGCCGACCUGAGAGGGUGAUCGGCCACACUGGAACUGAGACACGGUCCAGACUCCUACGGGAGGCAGCAGUAGGGAAUCUUCCGCAAUGGGCGAAAGCCUGACGGAGCAACGCCGCGUGAGUGAUGAAGGUCUUCGGAUCGUAAAACUCUGUUAUUAGGGAAGAACAUAUGUGUAAGUAACUGUGCACAUCUUGACGGUACCUAAUCAGAAAGCCACGGCUAACUACGUG